GGCACCUACUUAUUGAUGUUUGCUGGUUCUGCUGCAAUGGUGGUGAACAAGAACAUGAAUCUUCUAGGAAUAGCAGUUUUGUGGGGUUUGGAUGUGAUGGUUAUGAUUUACACUGUUGGGCAAGUUUCUGGUGCCCAUUUUAACCCUGCUGUUACCAUUGUUUUUGCUACAUGUAAGAGGAUUGCAUGGAGACAUUAAAUUUCUCCAUUCUCAGUUACCCAAAAUACAACAGGCAUGAGCAAGAAAGGACUAACAACAUCCAAAAAUAUUUAAGGACGUUUCUGGUCAUUGUUUUAGCUACUCUAUUUUCAGGUGCCAGCAUAUGUAUCAGCACAAGUCGCGGGUGCAACUCUAGCAACUGGCACUGUGAGAUUAAUGUUCAAGGAAGAGCAACCUCAGUUUCUGGGAACAAUUCCAGCUGGCUCAGAUUUGCAGUCUCUUGGAUUAGAAUUCUUGAUCACUUUCUAUCUCAUGUUGGAGAACUCACUGGACUUGUCAUUGGAGCUUAGUCAUAAUUAACUCCCUUGCUGGGCCUAUUUCAGGGGCAUCAACGAAUCCUGCACAAAGUCUGGGACCAGCAAUUUUAUCAAAUUGUUACAAGAAACGAUGGAUAUACAUGUUGGGUCCUACAGCAGGAGCUAUAGCUGGUACCUGGUUCUAUAACGCCAUGAGGUUUGUUAAGCCCUACAAUGAGGUGACUAAGUUUUUUCCUUUCCUCCGAAGAUUAGCCCAAAAUGAUGUUUAAAUGACGAAUACUAUUGUCCCGGUCUGAUUGAAUUAACCACUUCUCAGACCCAUGUUUAAGUCUUUCCG
Molecule: long non-coding RNA, 813 nt
Organism: Lycium ferocissimum
Lineage: Eukaryota; Viridiplantae; Streptophyta; Magnoliopsida; Solanales; Solanaceae
Exons: 3
Source: RefSeq, a predicted model, not a curated record